ACAUAGAAUGGUUCAUAGUAUAAAAAGAGGAAGAUAUUAAGAAUCGUGCUGUUGCUAUGAUUUUUCUUUGCUGACAAAAGGAGACAGCAUCUAUGAGGGCUGUAAUCUAACUUCAUUAAAUAGAAACCCUCAGGACAAAAGCAUGGACAAAAUAAAAUUGAAUGGAAUAAGCCAAAGCUAGGAAAAAAUAUAUAUGGCUGUAAACUUAACCCAAGUGGUAAGGCAGUAAAACUGUCAUCACCUACGCUAAUGUUAAAUAGUGCCAAGAGUUGUGCCAUGCAGAACUGUGAAGACAGGAGUUACCAUGAUAAUGAGAUGGAUUGGGGAUUUAGAGGGCAAAGAACCUGCCUGGAGUAGGAGGGAGAUGUAUCAGGCUCUGGCAGUGCUGAAUUUGCAGAAAAUACCAGGAGAGUGGGCAGCUGAGGUAAAUGGCAAAGAACUGCAGAAGAGACAGGAAAUCAGAAAGGGACUCAUAAAUGUCUGCUGAUGAUGCAGCCAUUCUCUUGUAAAAGAACAAGGAAAAAUUGUUUCCCACUACAAUAAAAAGAAGGUAUAACAAAUAAAUGCAGUCCCUUCUAAUAAGGUAAGUAGGUGUUUGCUUACGUGUGUACAUAGUUUUGUCAUAUGAAUUAUUUUGCAUUUCAAGAUCUAUGUAUGAAUGUUGUAUGCAGAUGUGCUUCCCAGAACACAGGAAUGUGUGUUCCACUGGAAUGUGUCCAGAGGAGGGCAACUAAAAUGAUCAAGGGUCUGGAGAACAAAUCCUAUGAGGAGCAGCUUAAAGAGCUGGGCAUGUUUAACCUGCAGAAGAGAAGGCUGAGAGGAGACAUGGUGACUGCCAUGUAUAAAUAUGUGAGGGGAAGUCAUAGGGAGGAGGGAUCAAGCUUGUUUUCUGUGCCCUGGAGACCAGGAUGUGGAACAAUGGCUUCAAACUACAGGAAAGGAGAUUCCACCUGAACAUUAGGAAGAACUUCCUCAUUGUGAGAGGAAGUGGAACUCUCUGCCGCGGAGUCUGGUGGAGGCUCCUUCCUUGAAAGCUUUUAAACAGGCUGGAUGGCUAUCUGCCAGGGGUACAUUGAAUGUGAUUUUCUUGCUUCUUGGCAGGGGGUUGGACUGGAUGUUGCAUGAAGUGUCUUCCAAAUCUAUGAUUCUAUCAUUCUAGGUGGGCAUGAACAGUAUCUAAUGGCUCUUAAUUUCACAUUGCCCAAUGUGGCACAUAUUUUCAUUCUCAUUUUCUGUUUUACAAUGUGGAUGGAAGUGGUUGUGCUUCUACCCUGCAGUGGUAAAUGUUAAUCUUUGUACAUUUUGUGAUAACAGGGAAAACUUAAGAGAGAAAAAUCCUUGAUGUGAGCCACCAUAAAAUGGUUCGUCGGCCCAUCCCUCUGUUUGACAAUCUUCGAGGAAAAGUGCAUCUUUUAUAAAGCUUUGUGAAGCAUCUCAGGCUGCAAGGAAGCAUUAAGGAAAGGACAAUGAAGACUUUUGACCCGAUCAUUCCCACAGACAGGGAAGAAGAAACUUCUCACACCAGGUAAUGGGACAGCAUUGGAGCCUCCGGUGGUGCAGUGUGAUAAAACGCUGAGCUGCUGAACUUGCAGACUGAAAGGUCACAGGUUCUAAUCCGAGGAGCGGAGUGAGUGCCUGCUGUUAGCUCCAGCUUCUGCCAACCUAGCAGUUUGAAAACAUGCAAAUGUUUUUGUGGGAACCAUGAAACUGCAAAGUAUUACCUUCAAGAUAUUAUGAGACUCUAGCAGUCCUGGGACACAGCUGGGAGAAGGACGUCUUGUCUGGCAGCAACAUCUGACUUCUCGACAACCUCCUCAGGCAUUGGCAGCUCAAGAGCAACUUCUGGUAUGACUUAGUGAUGCUGCUAAAUCCCCAAAUUUGUCAGCAUGUAAGCCAGAGAACAGCCAAAGAAUGGCACUUCACAGAAGAAGAAAGAUGGGGAAGAGGAAUGGAAGCACCAGGAGGAGAAGGAAAAAGAACAAGAAGCAGAAGAGAGACCCAAAGUCUGCAAAAAUAAAAAAAAGAAGAUUUCUGGGAUCGCAAUAAAAAUCCCCAACAUCAUGGCUUUUGGAUUCUUAAAGCAUCUUUUCAAGCCAUGAAUGCUGAAAUUAUAUGAAGGGUCAACAAUAAUUGUUAAAAUAUGUCACCAAUGAGCAAUGUAAUCUAAAUCUCGUAAACCCACUCACUCAUGGGGCCUUGAUAGGCACCACUUAUGUUCCUUUAUUAAUUCACUAUAUCUUCUCUAUUUGGGUAUAAAAAUGGAUUUAAGCCUAUGGCUUUAAGAAGAAUUGCAUUUCCCUUUCGGUUUCUUCCCUAUCAGAGUUUUUUUAAGGAACAAUUUCACUCCAUCAAGUUGGUUAGCUCCUCUUUAAUAUCACUGUCACAGAUAGUCAGAAUUAUUACAUGUAAUUGCAAGUUUGCUGAUUGCUGACACUUGCGAUGGCUGUUAGCUGCCAUGGCAUAAACAGUUCUGUAUAAUGUGCCUAUUUAUUAAGUUUUGAGGUAGUUUUUAUAGCUUAAAGCCACAAAUGGAAUCUAAAAAAGCAUGAUAUGUAAAAUAAUUAGUUAUUCAGAAAUAAGCUUUUGAAUCUUUUAGAGAUUGUUGUAACAAUAAUAUCACCAGCAUAUUAAAACUGUAUGUGUAGGGCCAAGCCUGUCAGAUAUAAAUAACUUUGACAAACUGACAGUCUUUUCAUCUUGUCAGCUGAAUUAAAAAAAAUGAACAAACUAUGAAAGUUCUAUUUUGGCCUCUUUUUUGAUAUUCUUCAAAAGCUUCAUAAUUUAACAAAAGCAUUUAUUUAGAAAAUUCAUAAUGUGUUUUUCCACAAGAAGAAAGAAAGGCUUGGCAGAUCAGAGGUACAACAUGUCCAACAUAAACAAGACAUCACAAUAGUAUGGUAACUAAAACUGUCCUGUGGAUUUUUCCUAUCUUCCUAUUCUUCUUGUAGCCAGGCUCUCUGUCUUCACUUUAUAUCUUUCAUUAAACAUACCUUGUAAUGAUGUCAGCAUUGCCUGAUUCUGAUGGCUUCCAUAUUGCUAUGUGAAGUUUAAACUUCAUGUCAAAAUGUACUUUGACAAAUACUAUUAAACAAACAUCACACAUUAUUUGCAACAGCAAAUGGUGGCAGUAUAGCUGCACUCUGAUGCCAUCCUGUCUGCAAUAUCUUAAAUCUCAAUGUUAGGGCUCUUCCAGACAGGUCCCAAAAUGUGGGCCCCGAUGGACGUUUACCUGAGGCAUCCUAACAAGGCAUCCAAAAGAUUUGGGAUGGCAUGCGGAAACCCACUCGGGAAAGCUUGGUUUUUUGGGGGGAGAUAUGGGGACUUAAACCCGCUUUAGAACUGGUUUAUUUAACCCACUCUGAAGAAGGUUUAAGCCUUGUGUGGAAGCGCCCUUAGCCUUGGACAGAAAAUUUAAGCCCUGUGGAAGUAUGGAAAGUGCAAAUCAUACUG
Molecule: long non-coding RNA, 3450 nt
Organism: Anolis carolinensis (green anole)
Lineage: Eukaryota; Metazoa; Chordata; Lepidosauria; Squamata; Anolidae
Exons: 7
Source: RefSeq, a predicted model, not a curated record